GCGGCGGCUUACAUGCCCACACGUGCUUUAAAAAAAAGUAAAAACAAUAGUUCAGCGAUCUUUGAAAAAAAAUGGACUUGGGAAUCGCAUCUAUAAUUAUACGUCAACGGAUAACUAUUUGUAAGUAGGUACAAAAAAAAGGGCAAAUAACUUAUGAGUCAUGAUUGGUGGCAUUGUAUAAAUGUCUACCAUAGAAAAAAACAUUAAUAAGAUAUGAUAAAUAAGAAUGAAAUAAUGAUUCAUUUUAAUUUAUGAAGCCUACUCUAUCUUUAAGUUUCUUAUUAAACUUAUCAACUGCUUGGUGUUUCAUUUCGACAAACCCAAUAUAACUUACACUAUGCAUAUGUACCACUUAUUUUUAUGACAAACACCAGUUGUGCAAUUAAAAUAUGUUUUUCUUUGAAAGCUAUUCGUAUCGUAGACACUUGCUUUUAAUUAUAUUUAUAAAAAUACUGCUCAAAUAAGAGUACAAUAGGAGCGUGAUUCAAAACAACAAAACAAUAUAAACAAUUGUCUUAGAUAUCAAUUUCUAUAAAUAUAAAUAACAUUUGUAGCACUUACAAUUAGCCCUCCUGAUAAUAUUAUAAUGCAAACAUCUCCUCUACUAAUACAUUUUCGAUUAAAACUUUGUGCGUAAAUUUUGCAAAUAAAUACAUAUAACUUUACAAGCCUAUAAACGAAAUAUGUUUUUAUGGCAUCCCCUUUCAAACAUAUAUGUUUUAUUACUUAAAAGAAAUACGAAAACUUCUCAUUUUUUUAGGCAAUUACAUAGAUACAAUUUUACAGUUUUAUCAUAUUAAAAAACCGGGUCCAAAGGAAUACAAAUCGAAAAAGUUAUAAGCAUUCCAAAACUUCUCAUAUUUUCGUAUGAGAAUAAAAAUAUUCCAUUUCCAAAAUGAAAGUUUAAAGGAAACUUUGCCUGUAAAGUUUUCCCGAAACUUCCGAGAGCUUUUCCAACUUUUAAGAAAGUUUCCACAACUCACGUUUUAUCACUAAGUAAACCCACAUAAUAAGCCCAAACAAGCAGACGCGUUAAACAUACAUGUGAGAAUAUCAUUGAAUAGUCGGUACACAUCAGAUAACGCACAAACAAUACUUGUGUUGUGCUCGUACAAGGUUAUUGUUGUUAUUUUUCCAUUUUAAUAGUGGUACAAGUUGAAACUGGCCAGAAAGUACCUAAUUAAUCUUUUUUUUUCGUGUAUUUAAUACCUUUUUUAGAUUUUCUGUUCAUAUUUUUAUUAUAUUUUAUACGGAAUAUACCAGAUAGUCAAAACAUAACUCACUUAAUUUACUUUUUGUUAAGCUAGUUAUUAAUAUCUUUUAGUAAUACCACUGUAUAUAUCUUAUUUACUUUACUAGUCGAUAUGUUUUAUUGCUAGUCUGAAUAAAAAUAGGUACCUAUCCAUCAUUUAUUUUGUUAAUAACAUAGGUAUUGUUCUUCAGAUACUAAAAUUUCUACGCUAGCUCGCGAACGCGGUCCGUCAGAGCUUAAAUACCUUUCUGAUUUUUCUGACAUUUCUGAUACAUCUUGAUUUGGGUAAUACAUGAUAAGUUAAAAUUACUGAAUCGUCGCUGUUUAUUUAUCACAAAACAUUGUUCUCGCCGAAAAGUUAAGUAACAAUUGUAAAAACUUAUGACAACUUACAAGGCACUUAGUUGCGUAACAAAAAGUACCGUCUAAAUAAAUGUAACAAAAACUUAUAAGAAAACAACUGCCAUAAUGACAUGGCGAAAAAUAUUACAAUACGAACACAAUUAGUUUUUGGCAUGCAAUUAGAGUACCAUGGGUGAAAGUAGGUCGCAUUUACAUUACAAUUAAAGAGUACGAGCGCAAAAAUACCAACAAAAAGUUAAGUGGUGGCUAAAUGGAACUACAUUAGUCUGUCUGUUAUACAUAUUUUAAAACCUCUUAUCUUAAAACUAUGUUUAUAGUACGCUAAGUUAAUUAAACUUCACUACCUGAUAGUGAUAAUAUAUAUUAAAGCAUCACCCACACUGUUAACUGUACAUCGGUGGACCUUAUGCCUUUAGUAAUAAGGUCCUCCGAUGUACACGAGUGUUGCUGUAUACUUACAUGUUUUUAGGUAUAAAAAGCAAUCCUUAACUAAUAAUUACGUAAUAACCUAAGACAGGGACAUUAUAAGUCCCGAAAAUACAUAAAUAGCUGUAAUAAAACAUCUUACAUAUUAAGAAAUUCUAGUUUAAUGAAAUAUAAGGUAAGCUACAUUUACUUAGCUCGACUAUAAAUAAGGAUGUAAAUUUAUUAGGUAAGAAUAACGAUUUGUAAUUAUAUUAACUAUAAGGGCCACCACACACUAGGCUCUUUUGAGCGUCGGCUUCGAGACAGCGCUAUGGAAAAUGGCGUCACUGCGCAGUUGCGUCGAGCAGCAGCCAUAGAGUUGGCUAGACGCCGACGCUCGGGAGACGCUAGUGUGGAGGGGCCCUAGAACCGCUGUCGCUCUCGUCCGUGUAUUAUACAAUUACAUAUUUCAGCACCACGAUCACAAUGCAGGGAUGUGCGCUAUGUGAAGGCCACUGAGCGUGAUAAUUGUUAUAUUCACAUAAUUCGCGACGCAAAAGUCGCUACUUUUCUCACGUUAUUCGACAUUUAAGGUACUCGCUAAUAAUAUGUCAUGUGCCGUUCACGGCCAAAACAAAAUAAUUGGUAGGCCCUCAUAAUGGCGUGUUUUUGGCAUUAUAAGUCAUUUUAAUAUCGUCAUUGUUGGUAGCCAACUAAAUUAUAUUUUUUUCCAAAUAAUGAAACAUGAUAUGACUACUAGUAUAGUAGGUAGUAGUUUAAUGAUAGGUUUGGGCACGGUUUGGUAUUUAAGUGAUUGAAUUGUGGUUUAUGGCGUCUGUCUAGUUUAAUCCUUUAACGGGCUCGACUGAAAAAAAUACUCAAUUCAAGGCUCAUUCCCAUGAUCUAGUUUUAAAUUUUUUAUACAAGAAAAAAUACAAAAAAUAUGUUAUAGAGGUAUAUUGAAAUUGUUGCAAUAUAAAUGGUUAUAAAGGCUUCUACGUCGAGCCAGCGCGGAUGUUUGUGUAGCGUGAUAAUUACAUUUAUGAAAAUAAUGAUAAAUUAUUAUGAUUUAUUUGCUACCGACGAUACCAUAACAAUAAGUCUUUAAAUACAUUGAGGUCUUAGAUUAGAAGCAUGCAAACGUUUAACAUUCAUAAUUCCAGGUGCGCGUAAAAUAAAUUUCAACAAGUUGACAUGUAUAGAGGUACGUACAGGUUUAAAUAAAAUAUGCAACUUUACGACAUUUGUGACAUCCCACGGGUAAAGGUACCUUAUGGCGGUUGGCGCUUACGCUAUUAUUAACGCCGCUUAAAUAUUAUUGCGGCGCUAUGUGACGUAAGCGCCAGCCGCCCUAAGGUACCUUUUCUGUGGAAAGUCACAUUUAGUCAGUUGAUAAUAAUUGAAUUACUUAAAGCUGCAUUUCGUGACUCGAUGACAGUAACUUUAAUUACAUGAAGAUAAGAAAUAAGAAGAUAAGCGGCAAAGUUAAAAUAUCACUUAAUUGCAAUUAAAAAGAUAUUUUGCAGCAAUUUGGAACGAGGCCGAGUGAACGUUUAAAGGUAAGUUAUAUAUACAUUAAGCAGUUUUUAAACUUAAUAUUAUUGCAGCUUGCAUGUUCUAUUUUUGAAGUAAAAUUAAAGACAAAUCUAAAUUAAAUUCUAUAAACACAAAAAUUAAAGCAAAAAUAUACACUCAUGGACAAAUUCAGAGGCAUGCAAAAAAAGCAUUAACUAUUAAUUUUGAAAUUACUUUAGAUGCUGUAAUCCAGUAACUAAACCUUUAUCGCGUUCCUUUAAAUUGGUCCAUGAGAAUAUAUUAAUUACAUAUACAAAUGAAUUAAUGAGCUUAUCCAAUUACGAGAAAUAAUCGAAUUUUUAUUCAAUUUAACGGUGCAAGAAAAGAUAGGAACAAAUUAUUAAAAAAAAUAUCAUAAAAACACUAUAUAACUUUAUUUAAACAUACACUUGCUAAGAAAACAUUCUUAUAUUUUUAGUACCUAAGCAUCUUAUUCUAAUUCUGAUUAUUUAUUUAAAAACAUUCAAUAGGUACACUUUCCACGUCAACUUAUAUUUUAGGCUGAAUCCCAACCAUAUUCUAUAGUUCGUUUUUUUAACAUUAGAAAAAGCAUACGUGAUCUCGACGUGUGUUUUAUUAAUUGAAAAACGCUUUUUAAAAAUAAAUAACUAUUACUUAUAAAAACAAAAGAAUGUAAAUAAUCGUAAAUGAUUAUAAUUGUUACAUAUUUGCCGUGACUUAUUUUUCAAAAGAGUUUUUCAUUAAAAAGACACGUCAAGAUUUUUUACCUUUUUUCUAAUGCUAAUAAAAUUGUAAUCUCUCAAGCAAAUUAAAGAGUCAACAGUACCGAGAAAAUUUAAUGGUUACUUUUGAGAUUAUGAUAUGACUGAGUGUCGCAAAUAAGGAUUUACUGUCACGGUGCGAUGACGAUCUUUUCAAGGAAUUAUCUAAUAGGUAAGUAUCAGUGAGUGGUAGGUAUAUCAAUAUGACUCAAUUUUUCGGGUGGUCUCGUACUGCCUCGGACUGGUUUGUGCAGUAAUUUACAAGAGUUUAGCGAGCGAAAAAGUGUCUCUAUAAUAUACUAAUGGCUCUGUGAGCUGUAGACCUCGCGAGCAUAGCUUUAAAUUGAAUAAAUUUAUGGUUACGCCAUUUUGAAAUACUUCCAAAAACUUAAUCGACAAUAAUGAUAUUUAAUUAUGGAAUCUACUCUCAAAAUUUCAUGAGAAUCGGUUUAGAAUUGCGACCUGGGGGCCGAUUUUUGAAUUACGAUCGAUCGAUUUCAUUACUCGAAAAUCGGUGGAAAACGGCGAAAUGCUAAUUUUUAAAAUGGAGCGAUCGAAAUUUGGAAUCUAUUGGUAUUGACCACUCGAUUUCAAUUCUAUUUGUAGAAUUUAAAUACCUAGUAGUGGAGAUAUUAUUUAACGAAAUACACGAUAUCGAGUUGUCGAAAUUCAAACAUCGGCCCGCUGUAGAGGAAGAAAUCCGGAUAUACGAAAACAUAAGUUUUUACUAUCACUCCCUAUCCUAUCCUAAUCCUACCUACAGAUACAGGCUAUGACUUACAGAAAUACAUACUAUAAAUCUAUAGUAGUGGUAGUGGUGUAGUAGGAACGUGGUAAUCACCACGUUCUGUUAGGAACAUAAAAGAAAUCCCGCAGGAACUUGUCUAACGAUUGAGCAUCCCUGAGAUGAGCUAUAAAUAGCAUCAGCAUGAAUGUUAGAUGCCCUACAGGAAGCACUAGCGGCUGCGGAAGGGACGCGUCUUGAAUGGCAAGUAUUACAGAGGGGCUACCGCGAAACCCGAAAUGCGCAAAUUGCGGGUAUCUUUCUCUUUUACACCAGUUUCCGAGAAAAUACGAUGGUAAAGGAUUAUGCAUACAUAUUAGAUAACAAUGUGCUAUGCCUUGGCCUAUACUAAAUUGUAGGUAGGAAAAAUUACCAAUGCCAAAAGAAGGGGAGAAAAUAAGGUAAAUAACUAUGUAAGUACAAACAUACACCCAGAUAGAUAUCAACUUACAUACCAAUCUAAUUUUUCUCAAGCAGAAAAUAUGUCGAAUAAACUACAAAUUUUAAUAUUAAAGGAAAACUAAAAUUCACCGUUUCAAACAAGACUCAAACUAAUUAAGUUUCCGUAGUAGCUCAGUUGACAAGUUCGCUGUGAAUUUUUUACAUUUUCCUUAAGUAUAAAAGUUUGUAGCCCUAAGACUGGACUGGUGGUCUGGUCGUGGUCGGGUAAUUACAUUGUUAAAAACAUUUUCGACAUAACUCGGCCAAAGAAAAACUACCAAAGUUUCAUUCAUCAUUAAAGAACUAAAGCGCGAAUACGUGCAAAAUGGCGGAUGCUGGUAUCUCGCUUUCGUUAAUAAAAAUCCAGACCAAACCAGAGAAACGGGAAAUUGCGUUAAAAAUAAAGGCCUGGCCUACCGCGAAACACGUUCGACGUGUUGCCUCUCUGUCGCACUUGUAAAUUCGUACCUAAGUGUGACAGGGAGGCAACAACGUGGUUCGCGGUAGACCCUCAGGACAUCGUGACAAUGACAAGACAAAGCUGUCUAUCCAUAGAACAAUUUAUACUCAUUAGGGCAUCUAGUAUAAUUUGAGCUUUAAAAUCAAGGCUAAUAUAGGUUUUUGGAGGUCAGAGAUAUCCUGGUUUGGUCGUGAGACCAGGUGAGGGUCACAAUUGGUAACACGACACUAGAAUGAGUCAGUGGAAGUGAGUAUUUGACGCAAUAAGGGGUUAAAAAUAUAAUCUUUAGAUUACUUAGGGGCUAUUCAUAAAUUACGUCAUUUCAAUUUAGGGGGGGGGGGGGUUGGGCAUCGGAUGACGGUAGCAUGAAGUAGGAGGAAAUGGGGUCAUUUGAAGCAUGAUUUUUGGAUGAUUAUAGGGGGGGGGGGGUCAAAAAUCGAUGACGUAAUUUAUGGACAGCCCCUCAUCAGAGUUCGUUUAGGUUUCGUAGAAAAAAAAAACUGUAAAAUAAAAUACCUAGGGUACCACUUGUAGUUUUGACUCUUAACUUAUGUAGCCUAAGAAGAAUAGGUAUGAGGAAAAAAAUAUACUAGAAAAAUAUACUUAUGUGCCCCAGAGAAUAAGUUUUGUAACUAAAUAAAUCAGCUGGCCAUAUCAAAUCAGCUGGCGACGCUCUCGGUCACACCUUCUGACGUUUAAAUAAAUGAGGUGUCAAUCUAUACUCUGUCAAGCCAGUUCCGUCAGUAGAAAAGAGCGGCACAUUAAAAAAAAUAUAGGCGCGAAGGGUUAUCCUCCCAUAGAAAAUUUUAUUUUCGCGGAUUUUUCUAUACUGAGAAACUUAUUUGACUAUACUUUAUCAUCAGCGUGAGCUAGUCAAGCUAUAUUUCAAAUUCAAAAUAUAUUUAUUUCAAAAAUUAAUAAUACAAGAGAGGUAGUACAGUGUUCCCCACACUAGGCUCAGACUGUGACGUGGGGAUCUUAGCGAAAUGCAGAGUACCGACAUGUCGCGACUAUUAUUUCAUUAUAUCAUAUAGUUCGUAGCUUUGUAAUAGAGCCCGGCGGCUAAUCCUAUUGUCUAUUGUUAAGUAAAACCGCACGUGCUACUUACCUGCAAAAAAACCGGGCAAGUGCGAGUCGGACUCGCGCACGAAGGGUUCCGUACCAUAAUGCAAAAAAAAAAACAAAAAACAAAGCAAAAAAAAAACGGUCACCCAUCCAAGUACUGACCACUCCCGAGUCCCGACGUUGUUUAACUUUGGUCAAAAAUCACGUUUGUUGUAUGGGAGCCCUAUUUAAAUCUUUAUUUUAUUCUGUUUUUAGUAUUUGUUGUUAUAGCGGCAACAGAAAUACAUCAUCUGUGAAAAUUUCAACUGUCUAGCUAUCACGGUUCGUGAGAUACAGCCUGGUGACAGACGGACGGACGGACGGACGGACGGACGGACAGCGAAGUCUUAGUAAUAGGGUCCCGUUUUACCCUUUGGGUACGGAACCCUAAAAAGGGUCAUAUAUAAUUAUUCUAUUUGGCACCUGAGCGCGUACUAGCCCAACGCUCAAACAACCAGUGUAGGUGCGCUCUCCGAAAACGCGUCUUUGUUACGCAUCUCGAUGACACAUUUUAGACUGGUUCUGUAGCGAGUCGCCGGCACUCAGUACCCGAAGUACUGUACUUUUUAUGCAGAGGGUUGUGGCACGUGGCACGAGCGGUUUUACUUAACAAUAGACAAUAGGAUUAGCUCGGGCUCUAUUAGAAACCUACGAACUAUACUUCCAAAAGGCACAAAAUCCGUUUGCAACACUAUUCAUACAUCUAUAUAUAGAAUUGUACCGGUACUAGCUACUUCCUUUGAAACGAACCACUUCAGCUAUACAUAGCCGUACAUUAUUAUACGUUAUUAAAGUCAGUUACAUUCUCAAUGUCAAGUUGUACAUCCGCCUUUUAUACCCGGUAGCAUCUCACGACGUCUGCGAGGCUCAUUCAGAUAGUCAUGCUUUGUUAUCAAACGGUUAUACAAUAUGUAUAUCAGAACGAAAGGCAAAGAAAGAGAGCCAUUAAUGUUUAGGUCAUACUGAGCAACUAUUGCUAUGGGAAAAAAAAUUAACUCUCCCAUAGGAAAUUUCAACAUCAGACCAGCGAAAUCCAAUUCUUUUUCCGCGUUUUCGGGGUUGGUCCCAUAGUAAAAGUUGCUCAGUACAAACCUGUAUUACCUAAACAUUAAUGGGUCUCUUUCUUUGCCUUUCCUUUUGAUACAUGCUGUAUAGUUUGACAGCUGUCAACAUUGACAUUUUUGUACGGAUAUGAUGGUCGUUCUUGUCUACGUGACAGCGUGAUAAAACGGUAUCUGUCACUUUCAACGGCGGAUAUUUUGUCACGUGGAUAAAGUCAUCUAUAAUAGGCCUGCUGGUUGAAGAAAAAACACUGUUGGCAGAGGAAGUUAUCUAUAACCGUUUGGUUACAAGAAAUUAAUAUUUGAAUUGAUCUCUGUAUUUUACAACUACAUAGGUAUCUAUGUAUAUGUUGUGUUCGUGUUUUACAUGUAGGAAGUGGAUCAAUAGAUGUAAUAUAAUAAUUUUAAGUUCGUAAGUACUUUUUGAUGCGCAUAAAGAUAUAAGAUAAGUUCGCCUUUGUACUUCUUACUAAUUGUAUGUUAUUAUUAAUAUGUCUUUUUGUACAAUAAAGAGUUUACUACUACUACUACUACUACUAGAUAUAAGCGACCAUUUUAUGGAUCUUCGUGAGUUUAAGUGUAUUUUUGUUAGUAUUUGUAUUUAUCGUGACGAAAUGUUUGAUAAAAUAAAAGCGCAUAUAAUGUGAUAAGUAUUAAAGAAGAUGUCACAUAUAUAUUCUAGAUCGAGGUUUAGGUACCUAAGUUAAAACUUAAAAAUAGAUAGAAAGUGGAAAUAAACAUGGAAUGCAGUGAAUACAACAUAUAACUUAGUUUAUAUUAUUUAAAACACGAGUAAAAUAUAUUAAGUGUCCAAUAUAUUCUCAUAAUUUUAUUAUGUGUUUAAUAAUACUUCCUGAUACCUCCAUAGAAAUUAAAUUUGUAAAAUCUUGUCUACAGAUAAAUCAAAUA
Long non-coding RNA from Cydia fagiglandana, 9076 nucleotides. RefSeq lists it as uncharacterized. The record is from RefSeq and is a predicted model, not a curated record. The transcript is spliced from 3 exons. NCBI's taxonomy places the organism in Eukaryota, Metazoa, Arthropoda, Insecta, Lepidoptera, Tortricidae.